RNAcentral lists this long non-coding RNA (225 nucleotides) under Pan troglodytes (chimpanzee). RNAcentral's name for it is "long non-coding RNA NONPTRT013920". The record is from RNAcentral. Lineage: Eukaryota; Metazoa; Chordata; Mammalia; Primates; Hominidae.
AAGCAGCUACCUUAAAGUCACAAAAUAUCAGAAAAUGGAUGUUCAAGGUCAUUCAACGUAACCCUGCUUUUAAUACCUACAGACAUUUUUUUAACCAAAGGAUAUAUCCUGGCAAAAUAUAUUAUGUAUGUAUAUAACUAAACGGAACCUCUGAGAUGAAAAAUACCUUCGAAAUGAAAAAUUCAUCAAAUGAGCUUAGCAGCAGUUUGAAAACUGCAGAAAAAU